RNAcentral lists this ribosomal RNA (209 nucleotides) under Durinskia baltica. RNAcentral describes it as "partial Bacterial large subunit ribosomal RNA". It matches the Rfam family "Bacterial large subunit ribosomal RNA", at positions 188 to 448 of the family's 2925-position model. Lineage: Eukaryota; Dinophyceae; Peridiniales; Kryptoperidiniaceae. The record is from RNAcentral.
GGGAACUGAAACAUCUCAGUACCCGGAGGAAAGGACAUCAACCGAGACUCCCUUAGUAGUGGCGAGCGAACAGGGAUUAGGCCAGUGCUUCUGUGACAUAAAGUCGAACGGCUUGGAAAGGCCGGCCAUAGCGGGUGACAGCCCCGUAGACGUCAAACAGCAGAAGACUCGAGUAGGGCGGGACACGUGAAAUCCUGUCUGAAAUUGGG